UGGGGAAUAUUGCACAAUGGAGGGAACUCUGAUGCAGCGACGCCGCGUGAACGAAGAAGGCUUUCGAGUCGUAAAGUUCUUUUAUAUGGGAAGAUAAUGACGGUACCAUAAGAAAAAGCCCCGGCUAACUACGUGCCAGCAGCCGCGGUAAUACGUAGGGGGCUAGCGUUGUCCGGAAUCACUGGGCGUAAAGGGUUCGCAGGCGGAAAUGCAAGUCAGGUGUAAAAGGCAGUAGCUUAACUACUGUAAGCAUUUGAAACUGCAUAUCUUGAGAAGAGUAGAGGUAAGUGGAAUUGUUAGUGUAGCGGUGAAAUGCGUAGAUAUUAAAAAGAAUACCGGUGGCGAAGGCGACAUACUGGGCUCAUUCUGACGCUGAGGAACGAAAGCGUGGGUAGCAAACAGG
RNAcentral lists this ribosomal RNA (403 nucleotides) under bacterium. Its description in RNAcentral is "partial 16S ribosomal RNA". It matches the Rfam family "Bacterial small subunit ribosomal RNA", at positions 355 to 776 of the family's 1533-position model. The record is from RNAcentral.